CCAGACCAACAAUAACAUCCCGGCUAAUAGUGUGUCGAGUCUGGCCAGCCUCUACUGGAUCCAGCUACCUGCUGCUGGAAAUUCUGAUGAGAACUCCUAUGGAUAUAUUACAUUAUCCCUAUCUUUUCUUUCUUGGCCUUUAGCUCCCCCUUGAGCUCAAAAACCUCAUGCUUUAGCUCAUGGACCUUGUCUUUGGCUAAAACCCACUCAUCAUGUUCCUGUUCCCAC
RNAcentral lists this long non-coding RNA (228 nucleotides) under Panax ginseng (ginseng). Its description in RNAcentral is "long non-coding RNA (PGIN_LNC008669)". Lineage: Eukaryota; Viridiplantae; Streptophyta; Magnoliopsida; Apiales; Araliaceae. The record is from RNAcentral.